RNAcentral lists this ribosomal RNA (405 nucleotides) under uncultured bacterium. RNAcentral describes it as "partial 16S ribosomal RNA". It matches the Rfam family "Bacterial small subunit ribosomal RNA", at positions 30 to 526 of the family's 1533-position model. The record is from RNAcentral.
AUUGAACGCUAGCGGGAUGCUUUACACAUGCAAGUCGAACGAGUGGCGGACGGGUGAGUAAUAUAUCGGAACGUGCCCAGUAGAGGGGGAUAACUACUCGAAAGAGUGGAUAAUACAGCAUACUAUUGGAGCGGCGGGUAACGGAUUAGCUAGUGGGGGGGGUAAAGGCUCACCAAGGCAACGAUCCGUAGCUGGUUUGAGAGGACGACCAGCCACACUGGUACUGAGACCCGGCCCAGACUCCUACGGGAGGCAGCAUUGGGGAAUUUUGGACAAUGGGGGAAACCCUGAGCCAGCCAUCCCGCGUGUAUGAGAAGGCCUUCGGGUUGUAAAGUACUUUUGGCAGAGAAGCGGUAUCUGCAGAAUAAGCACCGGCUAACUACGUGCCAGCCGCCGCGGUAAUAC